This is a non-coding RNA of Drosophila virilis, 585 nucleotides long. The record is from RefSeq and is a predicted model, not a curated record. NCBI's taxonomy places the organism in Eukaryota, Metazoa, Arthropoda, Insecta, Diptera, Drosophilidae.
AUAUUUAAUAACUUUUUAAUGAACAGUCAGAUGUAUUUUGAAAGACCAUGGAAUGACUUUCCUAAAUCAUUGCAAUUAGUGCUGCCUAUACCGCAAAUGUUUAAUUAUUACCUCGAUAUGAUGGAAUAAGGUGUACGUGGAGACAGUAGCAACAGCAGCAGCCGCUUGGUAACCACAUAGAAUGGACGAUUGUCCUGCAUUAGAGCAUGAAAACAUGAAAACAAUUAACGAAAUGGAAAUAUCUAAAAUUAAAGUAUGCAGUGGACUCUCGGUUAACGAACAUUUUUUUUUGGUAAAAAAGGUUUCUCUUAACGAACGGAGCUUCGCAUAACGACCAACGAAAAAGACGGGGAGAUAACAGAAGAACAGCAACCGUCUAGUGCAAUCAGAGAAAUUUCAAAGCAUGCGAGUCUGUGGCAUCAUAAAGCAUCACCCCAAUCAGACAGAGGCAAUACGUGCAACAGAAUUAUUCAACGAUAAUGCUUUUUCUCAUUUUCGAGCGAUGUCAGUAGCAAACAACUAUCAAUUUUCUCCACAAGAAAGGAGGAAACUCGAAUAUACACAAUUAUUGGAAUAGUUGCAAAA